This is a non-coding RNA of Pelodiscus sinensis (Chinese soft-shelled turtle), 594 nucleotides long. The record is from RefSeq and is a predicted model, not a curated record. NCBI's taxonomy places the organism in Eukaryota, Metazoa, Chordata, Testudines, Trionychidae.
CCGAGAGCGUGGCUGCUGCGAAAGCGAGCGCGUUACGCUCCCAAACGGCGGUAUCGGCCACCCAAGACCCUGGCAUAGGGGGCGAGGGGGUGAACCUUCGCCGCCGCAGACUGGAUUAUAGGAGGGGUUGCGCCCCAACAAUAGGACUUUGGGGCGUGGCACCCCCACAGUAACCAAGACAGCGUCCUGUGAUAAGACAUAAGUCAAGAGGAUGCUGAUGACUCCCUCAAGCUUGGAAUAGUGCGAGACAGCUUCCCCCACCUCAGCAUUAAGGAAUUACCCAGGAAUUAGUUCAUCGUGAAGAAGCAGCGUUAUGAGUAUUACUGAAGUAAAUUCAACUUAAGCCCCAGAGAGUGCCAUAGACUAACCAGACAACUCUCAUGUUUGUAUUGCAGUCAUGACACAACAGUGAGAAAUACCAUUCUUUGGUUAAUAAAUGAUCACACUUAAUAUGUAUCAUCACUGAAUCAAAACUAGCAAUAAACACAACCACCAUGCUACGUUUCUCAAAAUACUACUGAUGGAGAUCAAAAUAAUGUACAGUAAAACUCCAAUAGUCCGGCAUCCAAUAGUCCGGCACUCCUGAUAGUCCGG